Molecule: long non-coding RNA, 1567 nt
Organism: Anolis carolinensis (green anole)
Lineage: Eukaryota; Metazoa; Chordata; Lepidosauria; Squamata; Anolidae
Exons: 2
Source: RefSeq, a predicted model, not a curated record
UGAAACCAUAUUUACAGUAAAACUGGAUAUCUAAGCAUGAGUGAAUAAAGGACAGGGAUUCAGAGGAAGAGCUUGUGUGGUGGAAGCACCUCUAAGUACUGGAAGGUCCCAGGUUCUGGAUUGUAUUGCAUGGCUGGGACAGAGUGGAAAUGUUACGUUUACAAAGCCCAGAUUGUUAAAUCAGAGUACUCCAAAAUUGGAUACUUAUCCAAACAGGAUACAGUGAUAGAUCUAUGGUUCCCCAUGAAGAUGCCUGUGGUUUUCUAUUCAAACCCACAGAUUCAAGACCCCAGAGCCAUUUUAUUAAUCCCUUUGUGGAUGAUUCUUCUCCAGAGCUUCCCACGACUCCGGAGCUGAAGAUCGAUCCUCCAUCAGGAGAGGUAGCCGAAGGGCACACCCUGCUUAUGACUUGUUCCUCCAAUGGGAACAACACAGAGAAGAGUUUCCAUUUCUACAAGGAUGGAGCUGAGAUUGGGGUCCCCAACCAGGCAUCUCUGAAUUGCUCUGAAGGGUCUACUGGUGUCCCUUCCGAGGUCUCUCUGAGCAUCCGCCUACAAGCCCAGCCCAACCACACAGGGGAAUAUACCUGCAGGUAUGAAGUAAACAUGAGUGGCAGGUGGAUCUUGUCUCCCUGGAGCCAGAAGGUCAACAUCACAGGUGAGUCCUUUGGGGGAGCGAGACUGCAGUGCCUCCAAGUGGGCAGAGCUUUCUUCCAAAGGUGGAUUUUCUGUGUUGUCGAAGGCUUUCAUGGCCGGGAUCACAGGGUUGUUGUAUGUCUUUCGGGCUGUGUGACCAUGUUCCAGAAGUAUUCUCUCCUGACGUUUCACCCACAUCUAUGGCAGGCAUCCUCAGAGGAAAAUCCUUCUGGAACAUGGUCACACAGCCCGAAAGACAUACAACAACCCGGUGGAUUUUCUGUUUUUAUGUUUUGCUUAAAAUUGAAGAACCCACUGAAGGGAGGAGAAAGGCUUGAUGUGAUCAGAUGGCACCAAGUGUUACACAUGAAGCAUGGCCAGUGAAGGUACAAUAGUUGGGGAACACCAGCAAUCUGGAUUGUGGACUUCAUACAUCUGAAUUAGACUUUUGUUUCACUUACAGUUGUAAAUACUGCUUCUUUUCACACAAAGGGCCUGUUUUAAGAAAAUCGACCCUGGGAAACAAUAAACUUCCUACUUGAUCUUUUCUUUUAUCAGUUUCCAGUUUGAUCCAAAAUUCAUACAUGCCAUGGUGGGCUGUUCGAUUUAUAUUCUUGCUGAUGAUUCCUGUCCCUUUCUGCUACCUGAGAAAGAUCAAUGAACCAUCAAAAGAAGACCAGGAAGAACCGGAGUCAGGAGAAAGGGAGAGCAUACCACUCCAGAGCCGUGGUCCCCAAACUUUUCCAAUCACAGAACCCUCCAGAAGGCUCCCCCCACCUCCCGCCUCACAGACCCCUAACCGUGUUCCUGAUCUUCCUGCAGAACCUUAACUGUGUCCCUACGUGUUGUUGUGAGGCUACAAAGCUCUUCCUUCUUUCAUGUACUGCUAUUUCCGCUGUGUUUUGGAAAUAAAGGGAUUCAAAUUUCUUUUA